UGUUUUUAUGGCUGAAGAGAGACAUUUCAAAGGGGUCUUCAAAUCCCACCGCAGAUAUAAUUAUCAUCCUCAUGUCCCCUAGAAUACCAUGAAACAACAAGUACACAAACCUAGGUCCUGCGUACCACUUUAUAAUCAAAACCAUCACCUAAAUAGCCUUUCUCCCAGACUCGGGCGCAGCAAAUGAGUUCAUAAAACCUGGUAAUCAAAAUAGUAUUUCAAUACAACACUUUAUGAUCAAAAAGCAAAAUUCAUGAACAAGAUAUGAAAUUUUUAAUAAGGAAGGAUCUGUAUUAUUGAUUUUUUUCUUUUGCCUUAGGCUCCAAUAUGAUUCAGCUCAACACUUUCUUAUUUGCUUCUGUUCCGAUGCAAGACACCACACAUCUGCACAAUGGAAUAUGCAAAGAAGGCCAAUUUGUGCUUGCUACAUCACUCUGAGUCAGGGAAGCACUGGGAGUGAGCACCCAGGAUCAUAGCAUCGAGACUCAGCAGACAGCGCUUCGCAGGAUAGGAGGGUUGGUUCCUGUCUCACGCUGUUUUCCGUUUCUUGCUAUGUCCGGAAAUAUAUAAAGAAAAUAUAUUUACAUUGCUUACAAUUCUGUAGGCCCAAGAGCAUGGCACCAGCAUCUGUGUGGGGCCCCUAAAGUGAGGGCUCUAUGCUGUGCAUGGGCAAAGACGGGAGAGAAACUGGAGCAGGUUCCUACAGAAGAGCUGAAUGGACAGAAAAGAAGCAACAGAAAGCCAGUUUACUUUAUUAACAAGCCUCCACAGGAUAAGCAACUCAUCCUUGAGGUAGCUACGUUAAUCCCUUUGUGAGUGUAAAGUGCCCACAACCUAAUUACCCCUAAAAGAUCCCUACCACUCUCAACCCUGCCAUAUUAGAGGCUAAGCCUCAAGAUCAGUUUGGGUGAUGAGAAACCAUGUUCAGACCAUAACAGCUCCCAAAGGCCAAUAAAACGAGGCUCUCACUGGAGCACAGGCUGCCCUCUUCCCCGAUACAACUAUUAUCAGUCCACACAGAAAUGGCAAAGCCCAGCACGCGGUGUUCACAUUUCUCCAAGAACUCACUCCACUUUGCAUCAGAGAAUCCUGCAGUAUAACAGUGAAAUCUCCACUUCUAAACAGCCCUGUAGUAGUAAAUAAUAAUAAUAAUAAUAAUAACAAUAAUAAUAAUAAAAACGGUAUUGAUCAGUGUCUACCAUUCAAGAGCAAUCGCUGUGAGAUGGAGAGAUAAAAGGGUACAGUAAUCUAUCUUUACUGAGCACUGGCAAAAUAAAUGGUUCCAGAGAAGGUUCUGUGCCCUGAGUUUUAGUUAUUCCUUAGCUCUUAUUGCUUUAGGGUCAGUGGGGGAAGACGUGCAUGCCCUCAGGGCUGUCGAUCAGAAGGGAUGGCAGCAGGUGAUUCUGCACUCUCCACUAAGGUAGCAGGAAAAGAAGAAAUGAUUCCUUAACCAAAGCAAAUUGGAGAAUUUUUCUAGAAUCGAAAGAAAUGUGUUUUGAAAAUAAACAAUGAAGGGAAGGCCCUCUUGAAUGGAGUGCCUUAUAGCACAACCGCUGGCCAGACUAGACACUUCACGCCUUAAGAUGACGUCAGGAAGGAGGGCAGGGCUGAUAUCAAGGGUCAGCAGGUAAUAUUACCCAGCUCCCAGUGCUCCAACAUUACCGUUCCCCAACCGCAACGUCCAUGCCCAUCCUGUGACACUGAAGGCUAAGUUUAGUAAUAACAUCUCACCACUAUUCUUCUAAUCUACUAGAUUAAUAAUAAAAUUUAGGAAUCUUUCAAGAUAAAAUAUCAAGCAUUUUAACAGGCAGUAGCUGGGUAGCCCACAGGUGGAGAUCCUGAAAAAAAAAAUUAAAAACUCCAUAGGGACUUUGUUGUUCUUAUGCACCCAAGUAUCUUCGCUAUAUAGGUCAUGUGCGCAGAGUAGGCAUUUAAUAAAUAAUUGUACGAAUAAAAGUUAAGCUGAUGAGGACUAUUAAACUUUUGCCCCUGCUGAAUUAUCAAGGCAGCCUUUCAGGAGUCUCGAGUCCUACGGGUCCUGUGUUGCAAACAGUUGCCAACAGAAAACAGGAAUGUGGGCUGAACUAGCAAUAAUUCCAGCACUCGGGAGGCAGAGACAGGCGGAUCUCUGUGAGUUCGAGGCCAGCCUGGUCCACAAAGGGAGUUCCAGGACAGGCUCCAAAGCUACAGAGAAACCCUGUCUCGAAAAACCAAGAAAAAAAAUCAUUGCUUCUGCCUCCAGAGAGACCGAAAACUUGAGUAGUCAGUGCUAUCCCUGAUAAGAGAGGCCUCUGAGAUUACUACCAAGAAACCAGUUGGGGGUGGGGGAUGGACAGAAAAGGAUGAAAAGGUAUCAGAAUAAUAUCAGACUAUUCAAAGAGUCCUCGGAGAAAUGCCUCGAAACAAAAGGCGAGAUUGUAGGCGAGGUUAUUUCCUUGUCCUACUGAUCUGUGGACUCUGUAAUGGAAUUCUCAGACUCAGUUAAAGACUGCAGUUCUGAUAACCUCUUCACCACCCAUAGAGUGCAAUAAACAGACGGGGCAACUGUCAAAACACCUUAAGGAGCGGCAUCCAGAGAGACAGGAAGCACCUAGCCCAGAGAGCAGUGCUCACAUGACCAACUUAGUGACCACAUUCUGGAAUGGGGCCUGUGGGCUCCGUGCCCGCCCGCGGUGGUGGUGCUCACCGAGGGCCAAGCCAAAUCAAAGGUUUGCAAACGGGACUGAGCCAGGGAAGAUCCUGGAGGUGGCUGACCCAAAGGGCCUGAGCCCACACUCAACGAGCCAAUGGCCGUGGAGAAGGGGCGGGCCGUCGGGAGUGCUGCAGGCCCGCAGGGCGCCCCAGCCUCAGCGCCGCCGACUGGUGAGCAGCCUAGCCCGGGCCCAUGUUGGAGCCUCCCGCAAUCCAGAGGUGUGCAGCUGCGCUCGCGGGCGCGCUCCUCCUGCUGCUUUUCCUGCUGCUGGUCCGCCAGCUCCUGAGGCAGAGGCGACCGGCGGGCUUCCCCCCGGGGCCGCCGCGGCUGCCAUUCAUCGGCAACCUCUGCUCCCUGGCCAUGUCCGCCGAGCUUCCCCACGUCUACAUGCGGAAGCAGAGCCGGGUGUAUGGCGAGGUAGGCCGCGACGCAGACCCUCUCCCGUCAGAAGCAGCGGCCAGAGGGAGUCCCGCCUCGAGGGCCGUGCCCCCGACCGGAAGCCGCCCCACGGCUGUCACCACAGGCGCUCAGGGUCCAGAGUCCCCGCCCACGGGCGAGCGUGUGCGCGUGCGCUGUGUGGCCUGUAGCCUGUCUGAGAUGCCUGCCCCUAAGAGGAACUUCUCGGCCCUGUGGCCCCUGAGUUUGAAUGAAGACGUUAUUUUCAGUUUAGAUCUUGGAGGCAUAUCAACUGUGGUUCUAAAUGGCUAUGAUAUAGUGAAGGAAUGCCUUGUCCAUCAAAGUGAAAUUUUUGCAGAUAGACCAUGCUUUCCUUUGUUCAUGAAGAUGACAAAAAUGGGAGGCUUACUCAAUUCUAGAUAUGGCCGUGGGUGGAUUGAUCACAGAAGACUGGCUGUUAACAGUUUUCACUAUUUUGGAUGUGGUCAAAAAUCUUUCGAAUCUAAAAUCUUAGAAGAAACUCAGUUUUUAAUUGAUGCUAUUAAAACAUACAAAGGCAAACCUCUUGACCUCAAGCAACUAAUAACAAAUGCUGUUUCAAACAUCACCAAUCUGAUCCUUUUUGGAGAACGGUUCACUUAUGAAGACACUGAUUUUCAGCACAUGAUCGAGUUAUUUAGUGAGAAUGUGGAACUAGCUGCCAGUGCUCCGGUCUUCCUGUAUAAUGCAUUUCCAUGGAUUGGCAUCUUACCUUUUGGAAAGCACCAAAAGCUAUUCAGAAAUGCAGAUGUGGUUUACGAUUUCCUUGCAGGACUUAUUGAAAAAACUGCAGUCAACAGAAAGCCUCAUUUACCUCAGAAUUUUGUUGAUGCCUAUUUAGAUGAGAUGGAUCGAGGUAAAAAUGAUCCUUUAUCUACGUUCUCCAAAGAGAAUCUAAUUUUUUCAGUGGGUGAACUCAUCAUUGCUGGAACUGAAACCACAACUAAUGUGCUUCGCUGGGCAAUUCUUUUUAUGGCCCUUUAUCCUAAUAUCCAAGGACAAGUUCAUAAAGAGAUUGAUUUAAUUAUGGGCUACAAUAGGAGGCCUUCUUGGGAAGACAAGUGCAAAAUGCCUUAUACUGAAGCAGUUUUACAUGAAGUUUUAAGGUUCUGUAAUAUAGUUCCACUGGGGAUUUUCCAUGCAAGCUCUGAAGAUGCAGUUGUACGUGGUUAUUCCAUUCCUAAAGGCACAACAGUCAUUACAAAUCUUUAUUCUGUUCACUUUGAUGAAAAGUACUGGAAAGACCCAGACAUAUUCUAUCCCGAGCGAUUUCUGGACAGCAGUGGAUAUUUUACUAGAAAGGAAGCUUUCGUUCCUUUUUCUCUAGGAAGAAGACAUUGUCUUGGAGAACAGCUGGCUCGGAUGGAAAUGUUCUUGUUUUUUACAGCGUUACUUCAGCAAUUUCAUUUGCAUUUUCCACAUGAGCUAGUUCCAAACCUGAAACCCAGGUUGGGCAUGACAUUACAACCCCAGUCCUACCUCAUCUGUGCAGAAAAACGCUGAAAGUGCACAACUGUAUAUUGUGUGAUGUUUUACUCUUUUGGCUUUUUGAGGGGCCCACCACCCAGCUCCAAAUAAAUCACACACAGAGGCUUAUUCUGAGUUAUGAAUGCCAGGCCUUAGCUUGGCUUUGUUCUUGCCAACUUUUCUUAUCUUAAAUUAACCCAUCUACCUUUUCCCUCUGGGGUUUUAUCUUUCUUACUUCUGUAAUCUUACUUUCGCUCUUACUCCUGGCUCUGUGACUGGGUGGCUGGCCCCUGACAUCCUCCUCCUUCCUCUCUUCUCCUUUGAUUUAUACUCUCUGCUUGCUAGCCCUGCCUGUCCUUAUUCCUGCCUUGAUAUUGGCUGUUCCGCUCAUUAGACAGAUCAUCAGGUGCUUUAGAUAGGCAAAGGAUCACAGCUUCACAGUUAAACAAAUGCAGCAUAAUCACACCUUAAAAUAAUAUUUCCCAACAACUGUAUUAGGGUUUAAUCAAUAAUAGUAUUUGGGCCAAAGCCACAGUUUUAUAAAGCCAAGUGAAUAUAUAUGCAUUGUUUAAAAUAGUACUAGAGCAAUAACAAGCAUUAACUAUGUUAUUUUUUCUAUUGUAGGAUGUAUUGAACAACACAAAGGUGCAGCUGUUAUGUACAUAUUAAAAGGGGCCAUGUAUGCACUAAAAAGAGUUCUGUUUAUUGUAAAGUUCCUCUGAUCUGGCUCCAUCCUGGGAAACUUUGCUUUUUGCUCCCAAACUGACUCCUUUAUGAUCAAGUGUUGGGAUUAGCAGACUGUGAUAUCAGUCCAGGACUAAAGAAAUAAAACCCACAUAAAUGAAUUUUGACAACGGAAGUAUUCUAGAUAAUGAUGGUAGGCAAUGGAAGAGCUUUAUAUUUAAUAUAGACCCUCCCCGUGCUUUCAGAUAUUCCUCUCUACUAUGUAUUCAUAAGAAUUGUGGCAUUCUUUCUAUAAAUAAGAGUUUCUGUGAUCCCUGAGCAUCCAUCCUUAAAGCAGCAGCUCAGUAUGUGGAAAUAAAGUAUGCAGUUGGCUAUUUCUUCUUUCUUUGUAGGUACAGUCAUUACAUUGUUUCUGGAACUACUUAUUUCUAAAAUUAGUCACAGAGCUCAAAGAUUCAAACAUCUUACCUUACUGAGGUCUUAGUCCCAGUCAGGCAGGUUUUCCCAACAAUAUUCAAAUCAAAAGCCUGUUAUAGAGACAGGGUAACUUGUAAUUGGGUCAUUUGAGAACGAUGAAAUGUUAUUACUAAUUAUACCAGGACAAAUGGCAUAUUAUCACAGGCCAAAACAAACUGGAAUGUAUAUUCAUUCACUAAUAGCUAUUUUUUCAUUAUUGUGUCUUCCAAAGUUCUUCAAAGAGCCCAUGUUCAUGUAACUUGUUUUGUGAAGAGUUCUAGUCUUAGAGUAAAGAAAUAUAACAAUGGUUUGCAUGAUGAGUUUGAAUCAAGAGCUCCAGAAAAGGCUCAGCAGUUAAGAGAACAUACUGCUCUUGAAGAAGACUUGAAUUUAGUUUUCACUGUCCACAUCAGAUGGUUUACAACUUCCUGUGACUCAAGCUCCAAGAGAAUGCAAUAUUUCUGGCACCCAUGGGUAUCUACACUCAUGGGCAAACACAUAAUUAAAAAUAAUCUUUUUAAAAAAUAGAACAUGGAUUUAACUUAAUUUGCCUCAUCUGGUAAAAAUCUCCUAGUUUCUGCGGUUCAAAUCAGUUUUGUGUUGUAGAAUAUUAGUUUAAGAUGUGUUAUUUUGUUUAUGCUGUGGAAUAUUUGUUUAAUGAUGCAAAGAUGUGUUGCAUAUUUUUUGUUGUAUUUGUUUAACUCUGUGUGAAGCUGUAUUCACUUUGCCUGUAUAAAAUACCUGAUUGGUCUAAUAAAGAGCUUAAAGGCCAGUAGCAAGGCAGGAGAAAGGAUAGGUGGGGCUGACAGGCAGAGAGAAAAAUAGGGUUUCACUGUAGUUUUAGAGCCUGUCCUGGAACUAGCUCUUGUAGACCAGGCUGGCCUCGAACUCAGAGAUCUGCCUGCCUCUGCCUCCUGAGUGCUGGGAUUAAAGGCGUGUGCUACCACCGCCUGGCUUGCUUACAUUUUUCCUUUUUUUUUUGAUUUUUUUAAUUUAUUAAAGAUUUCUGUCUCUUCCCCAUUGCUGCCUCCCCUUUCCCUCCCCCUCCCCCAAUCAAGUCCCCCUCACUUGUCAGCCCAAAGAGCAAUCAGGGUUCUCUGCCCUGUGGGAAGUCCAAGGACCACCCACCUCCAUCCAAGUCUCCUAAGAUUGACAUCCAGUUUUGCCAGCACAAUUUGUUGAAGAUGCUCUCUUUUUUCCAUUGUAUACUUUUAGCUCCUUUAUCGAAAAUCAGGUGUUCAUAUGUUUGUGGGUUAAAGUCAGGGUCUUCUAUUCGAUUCCAUUGGUCGACUUCUCUGUUUUUAUGCCAAUACCAAGCUGUUUUCAAUACUGUAGCUCUGUAAUAGAGUUUGAAGUCAGGGAUGGUAAUGCCUCCAGACGUUCCUUUAUUGUAUAAGAUUGUUUUGGCUAUCCUGGGUUUUUUGUUUUUCCAUAUAAAGUUGAUUAUUGUCUUCUCCAGAUCUGUGAAGAAUUUUGAUGGGAUUUUGAUGGGGAUUGCAUUGAAUCUAUAGAUUGCUUUUGGUAGAAUUGCCAUUUUUACUAUGUUGAUCCUCCCAAUCCAAGAGCAAGGGAGAUCCUUCCAUUUUCUGGUGUCCUCUUCUAUUUCUUUCUUCAAAGACUUAAAGUUCUUGUCAAAUAGAUCUUUCACUUCCUUGGUCAGGGUUACCCCAAGAUAUUUUAUGCUCUUUGUGGCUAUCGUGAAAGGUGAUGCUUCUCUGAUUUCCCUCUCUGUUUCCUUAUCCUUAGUGUAUAGGAAGGCAACUGAUUUUUUGGAGUUGAUCUUGUAUCCUGCCACAUUACUAAAGGUGUUUAUCAGCUGUAGGAGUUCUUUGGUAGAGUUUUUGGGGUCGCUUAUGUAUACUAUCAUAUCAUCUGCAAAUAACGAAAGCUUAACUUCUUCCUUUCCAAUACAAAUCCCCUUGAUCCCCUUAUGUUGUCUUAUUGCUAUUGCUAGAACUUCAAGCACUAUAUUGAAGAGGUAUGGAGAGAGUGGACAUCCUUGUCGUGUUCCUGAUUUUAGUGGGAUAGCUUUGAGUUUUUCUCCGUUUAAUUUGAUGUUAGCUGUUGGCUUGCUGUAAAUAGCUUUUAUUAUAUUU
Alexandromys fortis (reed vole) is the source of this 7830-nucleotide RNA transcript. It is a transcript of the gene named cytochrome P450 family 2 subfamily R member 1, with no coding region annotated. The transcript is spliced from 6 exons. NCBI's taxonomy places the organism in Eukaryota, Metazoa, Chordata, Mammalia, Rodentia, Cricetidae. The record is from RefSeq and is a predicted model, not a curated record.